UGGGGAAUCUUGCGCAAUGGGCGAAAGCCUGACGCAGCAACGCCGCGUGAGGGAAGAAGGCCUUCGGGUUGUAAACCUCUUUCAGGAGGGACGAAGCCACCAGGGUUAAUAGCCUAUGGGGUGACGGUACCUUCAGAAGAAGCCCCGGCUAACUACGUGCCAGCAGCCGCGGUAAUACGUAGGGGGCAAGCGUUGUCCGGAAUCAUUGGGCGUAAAGCGCGUGUAGGCGGCUUGGUCAGUCUGGCGUGAAAUCUUGGGGCUCAACCCCAAGCCUGCGUUGGAUACUGCCUCGCUCGAGUCCGGGAGAGGAAAGCGGAAUUCCCAGUGUAGCGGUGAAAUGCGCAGAUAUUGGGAAGAACACCGGUGGCGAAGGCGGCUUUCUGGAACGGUACUGACGCUGAGACGCGAAAGCGUGGGGAGCAAACAGG
RNAcentral lists this ribosomal RNA (428 nucleotides) under uncultured bacterium. Its description in RNAcentral is "bacterial SSU rRNA". It matches the Rfam family "Bacterial small subunit ribosomal RNA", at positions 355 to 776 of the family's 1533-position model. The record is from RNAcentral.